Molecule: ribosomal RNA, 506 nt
Filed under: uncultured bacterium
Lineage: Bacteria
Description: partial 16S ribosomal RNA
Rfam family: Bacterial small subunit ribosomal RNA
Source: RNAcentral
AGUGAACGCUGGCGGUAGGCCUAACACAUGCAAGUCGAACGGCAGCACAGGAGAGCUUGCUCUCUGGGUGGCGAGUGGCGGACGGGUGAGGAAUACAUCGGAAUCUACUUUUUCGUGGGGGAUAACGUAGGGAAACUAACGCUAAUACCGCAUACGACCUACGGGUGAAAGCAGGGGAUCUUCGGACCUUGCGCGAUUGAAUGAGCCGAUGUCGGAUUAGCUAGUUGGCGGGGUAAAGGCCCACCAAGGCGACGAUCCGUAGCUGGUCUGAGAGGAUGAUCAGCCACACUGGAACUGAGACACGGUCCAGACUCCUACGGGAGGCAGCAGUGGGGAAUAUUGGACGAUGGGCGCAAGCCUGAUCCAGCCAUACCGCGUGGGUGAAGAAGGCCUUCGGGUUGUAGAGCCCUUUUGUUGGGAAAGAAAUCCAGCUGGUUAAUACCCGGUUGGGAUGACGGUACCCAAAGAAUAAGCACCGGCUAACUUCGUGCCAGCCGCCGCCGUAA